Molecule: long non-coding RNA, 2174 nt
Organism: Drosophila miranda
Lineage: Eukaryota; Metazoa; Arthropoda; Insecta; Diptera; Drosophilidae
Exons: 2
Source: RefSeq, a predicted model, not a curated record
GAAGCUGGUACGAAGAACUUUCCUCAGGUUUAAUAGAGGCCUCUGUCUGUUCCAAGGUCAAACAGAGUCCCCUCCCGAAAUGACAAAUACAAAAUGUGGAAAUAAUUCUAAGUACGUUUGCAUUGCUAAACGCCGUCAAAUGUAGGCCCUUCUACGUAAAUAACACUUGAAAACUCGAGCUAUAAAUAUCGGAGAAAUAAAUACAGAAAUUAGCUUUGUUUUUGCCAAGCUCAAGAUUUAUUUGUGGCAAAUUUGGGGCGAGAGCUUUUCGGCAGCACGUGUGCGACGCUUCGCGCAAAUCAAUAUAAAUAAUCUGCGAUAACAAAAACAAUGCCAACUCAAUCGAAAUUUAACAACCAACUCAACCAUAAACAAGUUUCAACGCGAUUACGGCUCUCAAUGUCUAGAUUGCACACACGCAAACGGUAAACCAUUGGCCAUUUUCCGUUUUAUUGUUCGAGAUACAGCAAAGGCAUGUUUUAAAACUAACCUAUUGCGGCAAUCACAUGGCACCGCCAAGUAAUAUAAUACGGCACACAAAUAUGAUACAUACAUAUGCAGGUAGAAAUGGGCUAUUUGUCCCUGCAGAGCCCCGUGCAGCAACUAAAUAAACAAAGCAUUGUAGAACCCGAUGCAGAUUAGAUCUCUAGAUAAAUCGCAUGUGUAACAUUGUCAAACAGAUGACAGCGUGACAGCGUCCGCAAAUAUUGGAGGAGCAGUGCUGUGCUCCGAGAUAGGGAAUUUCAGCACCGAGUGCAAACAUGCUUAAGACGCAAUAAAAAGAGGCUAAAUAUGCAAACAAACCGUGGAGAUUUAACACAAAAGCAGUGUCACAAAGCAAAGAAGCCCGAUAUUUUAUUGCGGGCCCAAAACAACAGGAGCGAUAAGAACGAUUACUUGUUGCUCCUAUGAUUAGAUUAAAACGUGUAAGCUGAGAGGUUGCUUAUGGUGGCGGGAAAUCGAAACACCACCCCCGGACACCCUUAACGAAGCAUCUAGAAGCGAACACGCUGGGCUGGCUCUGGCUAGCGGUGACCUAAAAUCGGGAGAGCUCUUUGUUGGUUGUUUGCCUGUUCAUGUUCUCGCUGUCUCGCUUGCACGCGCAGUAAAGCAUCAAGUGCAAUGGCGAAUCGAAUGGAAUUUUCCCUUGUUUAUUGUACGUGUGUGUGCGUGCAUUUUGUGACAUAAUAAAAGCGCGAGUCUGAUGGAGCCUAAGUGCUGUUGUUUCUUCUACCGUCUGUAACUGUAAAGUCAGGAGACUUUCAAUUGCUUGCUUCUGUUCACAUAAUUCCAAUUAGAAGCGAAAGGGAAGCAAGUAAACAAAAAAUAACAGCGCAUAUGUGUGGAGCAUGUGCGAGGCGUUGCCAUAUUGUUCAGAAUGGAUUGGCGACUAAAGUACUUAAUUGUUAUAUAAUCUCGAAUAAGCAGACAACGGAAUUAGAAUAAAUCGAACUAACUAUAAUAAGAAAAAAUAAACAGGAAAACAGAUAGAUCUCCCAAAGACCGACGCUGUAAACAGGGUGGCAACCACGCAGGCGACCACGAAAAGAUGACUGGAAAAGAAAAUAAAUAUCGCAAAACAUAGUUAAAAAGCAGAAAGCAGAAAGGCGUUUUUCUUAAACGAAUUAUUUACUUUACUUACGAAACAUGCUACAAUCAUUUGUGUGUACAAGAUUGGCAGAUUUCUUUACUCAUUUCUUCCAUUGUUCUUCUUAAUUUGUUAUUGCUGUGUGCGUCACACAUUCUUAAAAAGUACCAACACUUAUGUAGAUUGGUUACACCAGCUACUUCACUACAAACCACUACAACCAUAGCUACAUGCCACAAAUUGGAAAGGGGUCGUGGCGCACUGUUUUACAUUAUCUUUCAUUUUGCACUACAAAAUCGAUUUAUGCACACUUUCUUCUGUAUGGCACCUUGGAACCAUUACUUACAGUUUAUUAUUCAUACUUGAUGGCAUUUUUACACUUAAUGGUUGCAACUUAAAGCACAAAGAACGAUUGAAAUGAUAUAAAACUGAAGUUUUGAUACGGAAAAAUUCGCUGUUCAGUUCAGUUGGAAAAACUGCCUACGAAAACGUAGCACCUGCCUUGAUGUCCACAAAAACACUUGGAAGAUUUUGAUAGCCUCACAAUGGUUGCUUUGCUUGAUGUCAGUGUCGAUAAAAUAUAAAA